UACAGAGGGUGCGAGCGUUAAUCGGAAUUACUGGGCGUAAAGCGUGCGUAGACGGCUAUCUAAGUCGGGUGUGAAAGCCCCGGGCUCAACCUGGGAAUUGCAUUCGAGACUGAAUAGCUAGGGUGCGGUAGAGGGAAGCGGAAUUUCCGGUGUAGCGGUGAAAUGCGUAGAUAUCGGAAGGAACACCAGUGGCGAAAGCGGCUUCCUGGUCCAGCACCGACGUUCAGGCACGAAAGCGUGGGGAGCAAGCAGG
RNAcentral lists this ribosomal RNA (253 nucleotides) under uncultured bacterium. RNAcentral's name for it is "partial 16S ribosomal RNA". It matches the Rfam family "Bacterial small subunit ribosomal RNA", at positions 524 to 776 of the family's 1533-position model. The record is from RNAcentral.